AACAAACAAGCAAAAAAGGGUCAAAGAUAAAUCAUGUGUUCGUGCGUCUCUUCUGUUCUGUCUUGUCGCUGUUUCUCUGUGUUGCGCUUUCUUUCUUC
Molecule: non-coding RNA, 98 nt
Filed under: Chromera velia
Lineage: Eukaryota; Chromeraceae
Source: RNAcentral